Molecule: ribosomal RNA, 492 nt
Filed under: uncultured bacterium
Lineage: Bacteria
Description: bacterial SSU rRNA
Rfam family: Bacterial small subunit ribosomal RNA
Source: RNAcentral
ACGCUGGCGGCGUGCCUAAUACAUGCAAGUAGAACGCUGAAGGAAGGAGCUUGCUCUUUCCGGAUGAGUUGCGAACGGGUGAGUAACGCGUAGGUAACCUGCCUGGUAGCGGGGGAUAACUAUUGGAAACGAUAGCUAAUACCGCAUAAUAUUGAUUAUUGCAUGAUAGUCAAUUAAAAGGUGCAAUUGCAUCACUACCAGAUGGACCUGCGUUGUAUUAGCUAGUUGGUGGGGUAACGGCUCACCAAGGCGACGAUACAUAGCCGACCUGAGAGGGUGAUCGGCCACACUGGGACUGAGACACGGCCCAGACUCCUACGGGAGGCAGCAGUAGGGAAUCUUCGGCAAUGGACGGAAGUCUGACCGAGCAACGCCGCGUGAGUGAAGAAGGUUUUCGGAUCGUAAAGCUCUGUUGUAAGAGAAGAACGAGUGUGAGAGUGGAAAGUUCACACUGUGACGGUAUCUUACCAGAAAGGGACGGCUAACUACGUG